RNAcentral lists this ribosomal RNA (330 nucleotides) under uncultured bacterium. RNAcentral describes it as "bacterial SSU rRNA". It matches the Rfam family "Bacterial small subunit ribosomal RNA", at positions 568 to 898 of the family's 1533-position model. The record is from RNAcentral.
UUCGUAGGCGGUGCGGCAAGUCGGGAGUGAAAUCUCUGGGCUUAACUCAGAGGCUGCUUCCGAAACUGCCGUGCUCGAGUGUGGGAGAGGCGCGUGGAAUUGCAGGUGUAGCGGUGAAAUGCGUAGAUAUCUGCAGGAACACCCGUGGCGAAAGCGGCGCGCUGGACCACAACUGACGCUGAGGAACGAAAGCUAGGGGAGCAAACAGGAUUAGAUACCCUGGUAGUCCUAGCCCUAAACGAUCAGGACUUGGGGUGCCUUCCGUUCGGAAGUCGUCCCGGAGCUAACGCGUUAAGUCCUGCACCUGGGGAGUACGGUCGCAAGGCUGAA